CAGUAGCCGCGGUAAUACGUAGGGUGCAAGCGUCAAUCGGAAUUACUGGGCGUAAAGCGUGCGCAGGCGGUUAUAUAAGACAGAUGUGAAAUCCCCGGGCUCAACCUGGGAACUGCAUUUGUGACUGUAUAGCUAGAGUACGGCAGAGGGGGAUGGAAUUCCGCGUGUAGCAGUGAAAUGCGUAGAUAUGCGGAGGAACACCGAUGGCGAAGGCAAUCCCCUGGGCCUGUACUGACGCUCAUGCACGAAAGCGUGGGGAGCAAACAGGAUUAGAUACCCCGGUAGUCCCUGUCUCUUAUAU
This 301-nucleotide ribosomal RNA is filed under the name uncultured bacterium. RNAcentral describes it as "partial 16S ribosomal RNA". It matches the Rfam family "Bacterial small subunit ribosomal RNA", at positions 509 to 809 of the family's 1533-position model. The record is from RNAcentral.